RNAcentral lists this small RNA (125 nucleotides) under Marmota monax (woodchuck). The record is from RNAcentral. Lineage: Eukaryota; Metazoa; Chordata; Mammalia; Rodentia; Sciuridae.
GCCGGGUGUGGUGGCGCUCGCCUGUAAUCCCAGUGGCUCAGGAGGCUGAGAAAGGAGAAUCACGAGUUCAAAGCCAGCCUCGGGAAUGGUGAGGCGCUAAGCAAUUCUGUGAGAUCCUGUCUCUA